GAUGAACGCUGGCGGCGUGCUUAACACAUGCAAGUCGAACGGUGAAGCAGGAGCUUGCUCUUGUGGAUCAGUGGCGAACGGGUGAGUAACACGUGAGCCACCUGCCCCUGACUCUGGGAUAAGCGCUGGAAACGGCGUCUAAUACUGGAUAUGUGAUGUGACCGCAUGGUCUGCCUCUGGAAAGAAUUUGGGUUGGGGACGGGCUCGCGGCGUAUCAGCUUGUUGGUGAGGUAAUGGCUCACCAAGGCGUCGACGGGUAGCCGGCCUGAGAGGGUGACCGGCCACACUGGGACGGAGACACGGCCCAGACUCCUACGAGAGGCAGCAGUGGGGAAUAUUGCACAAUGGGCGGAAGCCUGAUGCAGCAACGCCGCGUGAGGGAUGACGGCCUUCGGGUUGUAAACCUCUUUUAGCAGGGAAGAAGCGAAAGUGACGGUACCUGCAGAAAAAGCACCGGCUAACUACGUGCCAGCAGCCGCGGUAA
This 484-nucleotide ribosomal RNA is filed under the name uncultured bacterium. Its description in RNAcentral is "partial 16S ribosomal RNA". It matches the Rfam family "Bacterial small subunit ribosomal RNA", at positions 28 to 523 of the family's 1533-position model. The record is from RNAcentral.